RNAcentral lists this long non-coding RNA (267 nucleotides) under Physcomitrium patens. RNAcentral describes it as "long non-coding RNA (PPAT_LNC007153)". Lineage: Eukaryota; Viridiplantae; Streptophyta; Bryopsida; Funariales; Funariaceae. The record is from RNAcentral.
UAGGGAGUAAAUGUAUAGGAGUUAUAGAAGUUAGUCUGAGGACCAGACUGUGAUAGUCAUGAGCCAAGGUAAACUUGGUGCUACCUCUUUGUUUCUUUAUUUCUUUGUUAUUGAAGAAUAAUGGAUAGUUUUUGAAUACUAAGAAGUAAGUCUGUGGAAUAAAUCAGAGAUUGAUUUAUGAAUUAUCCAUUAUCUAAUUGAAGUAUUGUGUGAUUGAAUUAUAUAAGAAGUUAUUGAAUGAUUGAUUAUGGAUGGAAGAUUAUGAUU